GGCCGAGUGGCGGAAUGGCAGACGCACGAGAUUUAAAAUCUCGGGUCCGUAAUCGGGCGUGCGGGUUCGACUCCCGCCUCGGCCA
Molecule: transfer RNA, 85 nt
Filed under: Planctomycetota bacterium
Lineage: Bacteria; Pseudomonadati; Planctomycetota
Description: Planctomycetes bacterium (groundwater metagenome) tRNA-Leu
Rfam family: tRNA
About the family: Transfer RNA (tRNA) molecules are approximately 80 nucleotides in length. Their secondary structure includes four short double-helical elements and three loops (D, anti-codon, and T loops).
Source: RNAcentral